Long non-coding RNA from Malaclemys terrapin pileata, 2019 nucleotides. RefSeq lists it as uncharacterized. Lineage: Eukaryota; Metazoa; Chordata; Testudines; Emydidae. The record is from RefSeq and is a predicted model, not a curated record. The transcript has 3 exons.
CGUCAAGGAACCUGACUUUGCGGUCCAGUGAGCCAAUGGCAAGCAAGUUCCCACCACUGUAGUGGAUUACCCUGUGUGGAUCUGACCUGGGACGAACGUGGUAGCCGGCACCUGGGCAUUUGGCCCAAGCGGUCCUCCUCCUGAACGGAAGGGUGCACGACCACAGUGAGGUCUACGCCAUCGAACCUGUUGGUUCCCACUCUGUUCUGGUAGGGAUCCCGGGAUCUGACAUCAGGAAUCUGGUCAGCCAUUCUAAAGGAAAAAUGGGCCCUUUUCCAGAGGAAUGUCUGUAAAUGAUCCAGGUAAAGAGACUAUCUAAUUAAAAUCAUUUGACUAUGGACAAUUGAGUCAAAUUUGCUAAAAGAACAUAGGGGGGGUUCUAUUGGAACUUAACUGCCCCAAAUGUAUAAAGGUGAUGUAAUCUAUGUACAGCUAUGUAAAAACAAAGCAGUGUAAGAGGGAUGUUAAGGGAGAGAAAAUGUGUAUGUAUCUGUCUGUCUGUGGGAAUAUGUGAGGUUUGUAAAACUCCUGUUUUGUAAGUUUAAGAUAAAUUGGUUUUGUUUUGUUUAUAAUGCCACUAAAAAUCCAUUUGAUUCUUUAAUUCAAAGCUGCAAAACUGACAGACCUUUUUGCCAGACACAGGUAAUCAGUGUUGGUUGACUUUGAGAUUUGGUAUUUAACCCUUAAGGGGUAACUUGAUUCUUUACAAAAUUUAAAUGUUUUCAAAUAAAGACCAAGUCAUGACUGCAGCAGGACAGUCAAAAUCAGAAAAAUGGGGAGAGAUUCUGGAUUCUGUUUGUUUGUUUGUUUUUGUAACAAAAUAGCAAAUGAAAGCUGUAGGAAAAGAAUAAAAUCAGUGGCCCUCUGAAGCAACAGCAGGGGUGAGGUGCACAAAACAAAAAGAAGAAAUGUUAGAAACACUGAGCCUUAAAAUGGCUCUGUGUAAUCAGACUGUCACUUUGAUAAGGGUACAUAAAACUCUGUAAGAACAAAAGAAACAGUUACACUUAUGUAAAAAUUAAUAUGGCUAAUGUUUUAAAAGUUAAAGUAUAGAAGGAAUGUGCAGACAUGUGCAGUGUAUAUUAUAGAGGGGGUAAAAGAAAUGCAAACGAAACAUGCUACUUAAUUAAAAUCCUAUUAGGGCUCCAAAGGAGCCACAAUAGACUGUGUUUUCUUUUUCAGAUCUAUGUGUGUUUUGGAAGCAAGAGUUAAAAGUAAUCAAAACUCUGGUAAAAGUUAAUUGUGUUCCUUUUAAGACAGAGUCUCUGAGCUCUGCUAAUGGUUUUGAAUCCAAAAGCCAAGCCUGUGUGGAUGCAAAUUAUCUAACUGAUAAAGGAAGUGAGAGAACUGCCAGCACAAAGAAGUUGCAGAUAAAGAACAUACCUGGUCAGCAAACAAAUUGUCUAAAUAAAAGGCACGAUAUAACAAGAUACCUUUAAUUAAAAUAAAUUUAAUGUUACUACGUACCCCUGUAACAAUGUAUAGUGUGUAUGAUUUUUGAAGAAAAAAAAUCCUUUAUGGUAAUGAUGCUUUUCAGCUGUUACCUGUGAACAAACUUAAAGCUUAAUCCAGCAGGAAAGACAUUGUAACCUUGGUCUGCUGUAAAGGGAAAACUGAGGUACACCACCUCAUGGAUUUAAUGACUGAACAGUGGGAUAAUUUCCCCAUAACUCUUAAAAGAUAGAAGCCAUUAAAACCUGGCCUGCCUAUAGAACAAAAACACAGGAAAAUAUGGAGGUAAUUCCUCUUGUUUUGCCUGCAAUCAGUAAGGGUAUUUGUAAAAGAAAGGAAUAUUUUAAGCAAUAAUGAAUGCCACCCCAAAAGGGGUAGAAAAAAUAUUAUUUUUGUCUUUCAGGAAAAGCUAAUAUCAGCUACAGGACAACCUAAUAAGAAACAAAUAAAAGUGGGUAUGCUUAUCCAUGCCUGUUGCUCCAAAGCCCUGUAGUAAAGACAUCUCACUAGGAUCCUGUAUGUGGGAUAAAAUGAAUAAUGAGACCAAAGUACUGUAUAAUGGGCUAU